RNAcentral lists this ribosomal RNA (743 nucleotides) under uncultured bacterium. RNAcentral describes it as "bacterial SSU rRNA". It matches the Rfam family "Bacterial small subunit ribosomal RNA", at positions 8 to 796 of the family's 1533-position model. The record is from RNAcentral.
AGAGUUUGAUCCUGGCUCAGAACGAACGCUGGCGGCAGGCCUCAAACAUGCAAGUCUAGGGGGUGUAGCAAUACAUCACCGGCGGACGGGUGCGUAACACGUGGGAAUAUACCUUUUGGUUCGGAAUAACGCAGGGAAACUUGCGCUAAUACCGAAUGUGCCCUUACGGGGAAAGAUUUAUCGCCAAAGGAUUAGCCCGCGUAGGAUUAGCUAGUUGGUGAGGUAAUGGCUCACCAAGGCUCCGAUCCUUAGCUGUUCUGAGAGGAAGAUCAGCCACACUGGACUGAGACACGGCCCAGACUCCUACGGGAGGCAGCAGUUGGGAAUCUUGGACAAUGGGGGAAACCCUGAUCCAGCCAUGCCGCGUGAGUGAUGAAGGCCUUCGGGUUGUAAAACUCUUUCGACGGGGACGAUAAUGACGGUACCCGUAGAAGAAGCUCCGGCUAACUUCGUGCCAGCAGCCGCGGUAAUACGAAGGGGGCUAGCGUUGUUCGGAAUUACUGGGCGUAAAGCGCGCGCAGGCGGUCUUCCAAGUCAGUGGUGAAAGCCCGGAGCUCAACUCCGGAACUGCCAUUGAAACUGUAAGACUUGAGGACGAGAGAGGUGAGUGGAAUUCCCAGUGUAGAGGUGAAAUUCGUAGAUAUUGGGAAGAACACCGGUGGCGAAGGCGGCUCACUGGCUCGUAUCUGACGCUCAGGCGCGACAGCGUGGGGAUCAAACAGGAUUAGAUACCCUGGUAGUCC